This is a non-coding RNA of Triticum aestivum (bread wheat), 124 nucleotides long. The record is from Rfam. NCBI's taxonomy places the organism in Eukaryota, Viridiplantae, Streptophyta, Magnoliopsida, Poales, Poaceae.
AAAGUACUCCCUCUGUCCGAAAAUUCUUGUCUUAGAUUUGUCUUAGAUACAUCCGUAUCUAGACAAGAUACAUCCAUAUCUAGACAAAUCUAAGACAAGAAAUUUGGGACAGAGGGAGUAGUUG